RNAcentral lists this long non-coding RNA (207 nucleotides) under Elaeis guineensis (African oil palm). RNAcentral's name for it is "long non-coding RNA (EGUI_LNC054428)". Lineage: Eukaryota; Viridiplantae; Streptophyta; Magnoliopsida; Arecales; Arecaceae. The record is from RNAcentral.
ACCAUACGAGAGAUCACUUUUAUUUCUAUUCGAUCGUCAGUGAUUAUCUCGAUACUAUAGUUAUGUGAAUGAUCCUUUGACAUGAGAUGGUAUUACUGCUCGCAAUGAGGCUGUUGAGUUUGACUGACACAUAAAUAUGAAUCUCAAUGAGUCUUUAUAGUGGAUGUUGGCGACAGUUAGUCUAUUGUAGGAGUAGGAUGUGCAUCA